This 905-nucleotide long non-coding RNA is filed under the name Triticum aestivum (bread wheat). RNAcentral's name for it is "long non-coding RNA (TAES_LNC003910)". The record is from RNAcentral. Lineage: Eukaryota; Viridiplantae; Streptophyta; Magnoliopsida; Poales; Poaceae.
UGAUGCUCCAUAUCAUAUUUUUUGCAGAGGAUCUAUAAAUAAGUGUAGAUACAUAUAAGGGCGGCGAACUGGUAGUGUUAUAUCUCUUUGGGCAUGUCAUAGCAGGGUUAUGCAGCCAGAAUUCUUUGCUCCAGCAGUACAUUAUUAACAGUAGCUCAACCUGAAAAAACCAGCGGUUGCGACUUGCGACGACCCUGACAUUCCUCUGCUUCCAGAUGCUCCAGCAUACUAAGGUUGUCUGGCCAUUUGAUUUUUUUUGUUUUGCCUCUGAUGUUGAGCCAGGUACAAAUGCAUUUACUGCAUUUCCAUGUUCGUCGACGACCUCCGAUGAGCUGUGAGCUUGUGAGAACAUUUCGAGAUGAUUUAUGCAGAAGUUUAUUGGAAGGUAGUACAUGAGAGCCAAAUUAGAAGAUGUGAUUUAUGAGAUCGAGGUUGUCUGAGUGUUGAAAUUUCAUACUAUGAACUGACUGCUCAGUGUUUAAUGUGGGAAGAAUGUGACUAGUGUUAAUCCUCCUCUGAAACUUUUGUGGCCAACACCGGUUUCCUACAAAGGAUGCGAAGCUGAAUUACAUCCUUGGGGCUCAGGAUGCAGAUGUAGAAGGUUUUGUUUAAGAAGUGGCUAUGUAGACAUGGGUGUCCAUCGAUUAUCAUGAUGGGCAACAUAUUUAUUUGUAUACACCCUGAUCCAAUUUGACUACCUCUACUGGAUAGACCUCAACAGAAAACUGUUGAGUAACGGCAGUAAGUGAUUGAGUUCAGUAGUUCCUCCUAGAAAAUUAUUGACUCUAGAGAUAUGAUAAUAUGGAGAAGAUAAAAUUGUUUGAAUGCAACCGAUACACAAGCAUAUCGGGGAAUCUGAAAUCCUCUUGCUUCUUUAGGUGCCAAGGGUACUGUUUGGUUCUCUC